AGGGGCAUGGUGUCAACGGUAGCACGUAGGUCUCCAAAACCUCAAGUGAGGGUUCGAAUCCUUCUGUCCCUGCCA
This 75-nucleotide transfer RNA is filed under the name Acholeplasmataceae bacterium. Its description in RNAcentral is "tRNA-Trp". It matches the Rfam family "tRNA". From Rfam's summary of the family: Transfer RNA (tRNA) molecules are approximately 80 nucleotides in length. Their secondary structure includes four short double-helical elements and three loops (D, anti-codon, and T loops). Lineage: Bacteria; Bacillati; Mycoplasmatota; Mollicutes; Acholeplasmatales; Acholeplasmataceae. The record is from RNAcentral.